CGCACAUUGCGCCCGCCAGUAUUCUGGCGGGCAUGCCUGUCCGAGCGUCAUUUCAACCCUCGAACCCCUCCGGGGGGUCGGCGUUGGGGAUCGGCCACCCUCUAAACCGGGCGGCCGUCUCCGAAAUACAGUGGCGGUCUCGCCGCAGCCUCUCCUGCGCAGUAGUUUGCACACUCGCAACGGGAGCGCGGCGCGUCCAAUGCCGUAAAACACCCCAAACUUCUGAAAUGUUGACCUCGGAUCAGGUAGGAAUACCCGCUGAACUUAA
This 268-nucleotide unclassified non-coding RNA is filed under the name Trichoderma helicum. RNAcentral's name for it is "partial contains 5.8S ribosomal RNA, internal transcribed spacer 2, and large subunit ribosomal RNA". Lineage: Eukaryota; Fungi; Ascomycota; Sordariomycetes; Hypocreales; Hypocreaceae. The record is from RNAcentral.